UCUCACUCAGCGGGUAGCGUUCGUAAUUUAUUACUUACGUUUCCGUGUACUUUGUUGUCUGCUGGUUAGCAUCAAUUUUGAUUGUCAUAAAAAGGUUAAGGGGAUGUGGCUCCUUCGGGAGUGUUAUAACCCUUAACGGAAUGUGGCGAUUGGGAUUGAGGAUUGCAACGAAUACCUUUAGGGCAGUUCCGUCGGGUCUCUUGUUGAUGUUCAGAUAGCAAAAGCUUGCUUUUGUUGUUUGAAUCGUUAGCAAAUAGAUUGGAAAGUGAAUUAAUUCGUUAAGGAUGCUGACGUA
Molecule: ribosomal RNA, 295 nt
Filed under: uncultured Glomeromycotina
Lineage: Eukaryota; Fungi; Glomeromycota
Description: partial 28S ribosomal RNA
Source: RNAcentral